UUUAAACAACUUAUCAUUUUUUUAUAACAUUUAUUACUUAACUUUUUGAAUAUGCUUAUAAUGAAUGACUUCAUCAGAAUCAAGGUACUUCUCCAGAACAAGAAUUUUGGUGUCUUGGCAGCUCCUUUAGGUCUAUCCAGAAAUUCAUCCCUUUGUCCAAGAGCCAGGGUUUGCUCACUAUGAGUACUACUUUGUAUGCAGUACAGCUCCUGCCAUCCUGGGGAGCACCGCAGGGGCUUCAUACCCCUACGGCCACACUGCUGGUGGGAAGCGUGGCCCCUGGAAAACCCCACAGGAGGAACAAGCCAUCCAUGCUGGCUCCCAGGUCACUGGAUAGCUCCAACAGGGUUCAAAUCUGCCAGACCUGCUCAGUCCUGCUCUAUCCUCUUGUUUGGCAUCACUGUGAGGGUUUUAUGGCUGGGUUUCUACUUCCCUGCCUUCUGUCCAGCACUAAAAUGGCUGCUUGCAACGUGACUUACACGACUGCAGCUGACAAAUGGGGAAGCUGUUAGUCCGGCAAGAUUUAGUCACUGCCUCUUUGACUGGCUGCAUAGUCACUUGUCUGCUGCCAGUGCUGAGUGGUGGAUAUAGAUGCAUAUAGAUGAAUGAUUCCAUAUCUGAGCAAGGGUUUGUAGAGCAUUACUGCACUUCUCAGCUGCAGGAGAAGGGGACCGUCAGACUGCUGGCACAAGCAAGGUGAGAAAGGCACAACAGUUAUUGUAGUUUCUGCUAUAGUUGACUUUCCAUCGAUUUCAGAUGCCCCUGAUUAGCCCCUUCUUUCUCAGCCUGACAUGCCUGUGUUAUGCUUUUCAACUUGGGGGAAGCAAACAAAAGAAGUCUCUUCACAUCCUUCUGGACCUUUGCUGAGAAGAGAUUAAACCGCUAUAUUUGCACAGUAGUGUUCAGCAUGAAUUUCUUAUCUUUCCCUGUGCAGGCAGCACUGGAAAUGUGAGGUUUGAAACCACCUGGUGGUUUUUGUAGCACAGCAGGCAGGUAACAUGCCCUGGUGUGGCCACAUAACAGGACCACUUGCUCAGCCAGACAUCACCAAGCACUGACCCCCUCCAUUAGCAUGAUCCUCCUUGAUCCAUGAGACCUAUUUCCAACCCGCUAAGUGCCUUCAUGUAUCAAUUCUGACUUCCACUUCUCCCCAAACUCCUGGCUGAUUGCAGGUCUUUUAGAACUCAUCACUGCCCCUUCUCUAUCUCCUACAGCUAAGCUUCUUGUUCCAUUGUUUUAUUUACCACUGCACGUGCCAACCCCUCCCUUGCCACGUAUGACUUGUAAACUAUGCCACUGGAGGUAGAGAUGGGGUGCUAUCACGCCCACCUUAAUGUCUAGUUAUAAGGUCCUGCUCCUGUCCCCCAACACCGAUGCUGGGGUCAAGCAGUUACAGGACAGCUAAAGAGUGUUUCCUGCCCUGAACGGCUGUCACUGAAGUCUGUGCAUUGCCACAGACAGCUACUACAGCUACAGAAAACAUCAGGAUCAUUGCCACAAUAAUGCAUGUGAGAGCCUAAGUCCUGCUAUGUCAGAGGACAGGGCUGAUGGACAUAAGGUCUCGGCUGGCACACAAGAAGAGCCAGAAAUCUUUUAUCAGGCCUCCCAGGAACUCGGACUGGGACAAAGCUUGUGUCCUUUGAGCUCACACGAGAAUGAGGUAAGUCUAGACAUUACCACGGUUGCUCAAAUAUCAGCUGCACAGAAGAGAUUGUGUAAUUUUGUGUUUUUGACAAGCAGGGAGCAGCAGAUUGGGACAGCUUCAGCACAGAGCGCUGUACUGGCAGCACCUUUGCUUUUAAGGGCAAAGUCUGAUGGUGAAGAACUGCAUCCCUUUUCUUAGAAAAUGGAUAUGUCGCUCCAUCUUUUGUAACAGAGUUGUGGCCAGACGUGGCAUCGCUUGGCGGAAUGAAGUGCACUUUCUGGAAAUGUCGAUGCACACAUUCUGAAAAACAUUCUGUAAGUUUUUUAGGGAAAAAAAAAAGUGACAAAUGGUAAUUAACUGAGAGUGGGUGGAUCUGAGGGGGUGAAUGAAAGGUCUGGCAGAAGAUCACAGCUACCUGUGUUCCAGAAAAGAGGCGUGGGUGAACAUGAUGUUCAGGGGGCUUUUUUCUUCUCCUAUUCAGAGAGACUUUUUCCAUUGACUGGAACAGGGCUGUCAUGUGCCAGCCCAUUUCUGACAGCCACCAUCUGAAAACUGCAGUCUGGAACAAUUAUGGCUGUGAAUCACUCCACCGAAGCAGGCUGCUCCUGGAUGUGGGUUCUUGAACCAGGUCCCAAACCUGAUAUUGCUCGAUAUUGCCAGGAUGACACAAGUUAGAUUUUGCUCCAGCGUUUCCAACUGUUGGGAUUUUAUCGCAUUAUCUGAAAUUCUGCUUAAUGCCUCAGCCCCUAGGGCUAUAAGAUUAUGUAAGAAUCUCUGCUUUUAUUACAAAAUAAAGUUCAUUUUCUAGUUU
Cygnus olor (mute swan) is the source of this 2456-nucleotide long non-coding RNA. RefSeq lists it as uncharacterized. Lineage: Eukaryota; Metazoa; Chordata; Aves; Anseriformes; Anatidae. The record is from RefSeq and is a predicted model, not a curated record. The transcript is spliced from 2 exons.